This 611-nucleotide ribosomal RNA is filed under the name Triatoma rubrovaria. RNAcentral's name for it is "SSU rRNA". It matches the Rfam family "Eukaryotic small subunit ribosomal RNA", at positions 556 to 1085 of the family's 1831-position model. Lineage: Eukaryota; Metazoa; Arthropoda; Insecta; Hemiptera; Reduviidae. The record is from RNAcentral.
CAAGUCUGGUGCCAGCAGCCGCGGUAAUUCCAGCUCCAAUAGCGUAUAUUAAAGUUGUUGCGGUUAAAAAGCUCGUAGUUGGUUCUGCGUGCCGCGCUGUCGGUUCGCCGCCUGUCGGUGUAACUGGCAUGUCGCGGCAUGUCCUGUCGGUGGUGAACGGAGUCCACGACGCUACAUGGGCUUUAUAGUCGAUGUUAGCAUCGUGUGUACUUCCGUUGGCCGAUCUCUCCUACUUCGGUGCUCUUAAACGAGUGUCGAGGUAGGCCGACACGUUCACUUUGAACAAAUUAGAGUGCUUAAAGCAGGCUGAAAUAUCUGCCUGAAUAGUGGUGCAUGGAAUGAUAAAACAGGACCUCGGUUCUAUUUUGUUGGUUUUAGGAAUAUGAGGUAAUGAUCAAUGUGGACUGGCGGGGGCAUUCGUAUUGCGACGUUAGAGGUGAAAUUCUUGGAUCGUCGCAAGACGCACUAGAGCGAAAGCAUUUGCCAAGUAUGUCUUAAUUGAUCAAGAACGAAAGUUAGAGGUUCGAAGGCGAUCAGAUACCGCCCUAGUUCUAACCAUAAACGAUGCCAGCCAGCGAUCCGCCGAUGUUCCUUUAAUGACUCGGCGGGGA